CCUACGGGUGGCAGCAGUGAGGAAUAUUGGUCAAUGGACGAGAGUCUGAACCAGCCAAGUAGCGUGAAGGAUGACUGCCCUAUGGGUUGUAAACUUCUUUUAUAUGGGAAUAAAAUGUUCCACGUGUGGGAUUUUGUAUGUACCAUAUGAAUAAGGAUCGGCUAACUCCGUUCCAGCAGCCGCGGUAAUACGGAGGAUCCGAGCGUUAUCCGGAUUUAUUGGGUUUAAAGGGAGCGUAGGUGGAUUGUUAAGUCAGUUGUGAAAGUUUGCGGCUCAACCGUAAAAUUGCAGUUGAAACUGGCAGUCUUGAGUACAGGAGAGGUGGGCGGAAUUCGUGGUGUAGCGGUGAAAUGCUUAGAUAUCACGAAGAACUCCGAUUGCGAAGGCAGUUCACUGGACUGCAACUGACACUGAGGCUCGAAAGUGUGGGUAUCAAACAGGAUUAGAUACCCGUGUAGUC
This 460-nucleotide ribosomal RNA is filed under the name uncultured bacterium. RNAcentral describes it as "partial 16S ribosomal RNA". It matches the Rfam family "Bacterial small subunit ribosomal RNA", at positions 338 to 795 of the family's 1533-position model. The record is from RNAcentral.